AGUUUUAGGAUUAUGCUCCGCCAGCAAUUCUGGAUUGCCAUAUGGCUAUGCCAUGUGCCGUGUUGAAGUGUCACCACUCACCACCAUUUUAAGUGGUGAACUAUAUGAAUCUACCCUUCUGGGUGGUGAUGCAUGAUGCAUCUUUUUGGUUUCACUAGUGCUAAUGGUUUAGCAAAUCCACAUCUCAGUCUCAUCCGUUUAUAGAUUGUCAGAUUCUAGUUUUUUUUUUUUCAAAUGUUAUUUUUGUUUUUCUUUUAACUGUUGUUGUCAUUUUGUGGUGGAGCUUUUUCUGUUUUUGAAUUGUUGGUAGUGCUUUGAACUCGGAUACUGUUUCAUUUUCAUUUCUCUAACAAUGUUUCUUAUCAGGUAUGAAAAUACUGUGUAUUUUCUUUUUAAUAUAAUUGUGCAUGUUUCUGAAUGGAGCUUGCACUGGUUGGUAUGAGGUGGUUUUGGUUUGGCCUCGAAAAAGGCGGGACUGGGGUUUUUUGCUUCUUUUACAAAUACAUUUUCUUUUGGCAACAUGUAUCCAAUCACCAGUGUAGUAUCUAACAUGCAUUUGAAUUUUUGGCUGGAAAAUUUUCUUCCUCCAACUUUGCACGCUGAGUAAUCGACCUCAGUCCGAGCUCUCCAGUUAGGCAGCAAUGUAGCAGUUUGUCCUCCACGCUUGAUUAAGAAACACAUCAUUUGCAGUUUAUCUUUCAAAAGAAUAGAGCGAGCCAAAAGACUUCCUGGUGACCCAUGGGCUGAGUUAUGUCUAUUACUAACAGAGUGAGCCAAAAGACCUCAAGUAGCCCAAAGGCCUAAUGACUAGGCACAUCCAAGCCUACCAUUCUUGGAUAUGUACUUCUCAUAAUCCAAGCACAUAAAAAGAGCCUGCGGCUGGCAUUGCCAUGCGAGAAGUCGUCGUGUGUGAAAGGUGGCCAAGCUCUAUUGUUUUACAGUGGAAUCUUCUUAAUGGCGUUGGGAGUGGGCGGGAUUCGAGGGACACUUCCACUCUAGGUGCAGAUCAGUUUAACCAGAAGGAUUCCAAGGAGCUUUUUUUUUCUCUCGAUAGUAGGCACAUUUUUUAAAGAAAGCUCAUGGUCUGUCUUCUCUCUCUGAAAGGUUCUUUGAUGGGCAGGUGAAUUUGAAUUUCCUUGGAGUUUUAUUCUCUCUGUCAUUUUGGGGUAGGUGACUUUGAUUUGUGCAAAAUGUGGUUAUUGAAAGUGUCUUUCAUGCAACCAAUGGAUAAUCUAGUGGAAAUUAUUUGCAUCGAUUUGGAGGUGGUUUGGCAGCUUGGAUUUUGGCAAUUUUGGUGCUUUUGAAGGAAACAAAUAUUCGCAUGCUUCCCCUUCUGCAAGAAUAAUAGAGGGUGGUUAUGCUCGGCGGCUUCUACAAGUAAAGUUAUUUUCUUGUAUUUCUUUGUACUUCACCGUUUAGCAUAUAGAUUGUGGAACGACAAUAUGUUUACUUAGCAGCAACCAUGUCUGAACAAAUGUAUUAUUAAUAUUAUCAUCGUUAUUAUUUGUUUCUUUAUUGCUUUCUCAUAAUUCAAUGCUUCAGUUUCAGCAUAUCAUAUAAUGUCAAAUGUUAAAAUGUCUCUUCAUCCACAUUAACUUUCUCUUCUUUAACAAUCCUACAGCACAUUCAUGUAAUUUUUAUAUGUACUUUGUAAUUGUGGGUGUUAUAUCCGUAUCCAUGGCCAUGAUAUGUUAUUAGUGUUAUAUCAAGCAACCUUGGAGGCUAUGAAGGUUCUGCUUGCUAUAGGUGUAAAUGUGGAAAAGGAUGAAUUUUGUGUUGUACAUUUGACUUAAUUACAAAUUUAAAUUCAUGUUUUCAGCUAGAAAAAGGUGUAGAUGGGCUAUUUGAUAGUUUUGCUAGAUUGGAUUCACGUGUCUCUAGCGUGGGACUGACGAUGCAA
Magnolia sinica is the source of this 1900-nucleotide long non-coding RNA. RefSeq lists it as uncharacterized. The transcript has 4 exons. NCBI's taxonomy places the organism in Eukaryota, Viridiplantae, Streptophyta, Magnoliopsida, Magnoliales, Magnoliaceae. The record is from RefSeq and is a predicted model, not a curated record.